This 465-nucleotide ribosomal RNA is filed under the name uncultured bacterium. RNAcentral describes it as "partial 16S ribosomal RNA". It matches the Rfam family "Bacterial small subunit ribosomal RNA", at positions 338 to 795 of the family's 1533-position model. The record is from RNAcentral.
CCUACGGGAGGCAGCAGUGGGGAAUAUUGCGCAAUGGGCGAAAGCCUGACGCAGCGACGCCGCGUGAGGGAUGAAGGUCUUCGGAUCGUAAACCUCUGUCAGCAGGGAAGAACGGUCACUGUGCUAAUCAGCAGUGAAUUGACGGUACCUGCAAAGGAAGCACCGGCUAACUCCGUGCCAGCAGCAGCGGUAAUACGGAGGGUGCGAGCGUUAAUCGGAAUUACUGGGCGUAAAGCGCUCGUAGGCGGUAUGUCAAGUCAAGGGGGAAAUCCCCGCGCUCAACGUGGGAACUGCCUUUGAAACGGGCAAACUGGAGUGUGUGAGAGGAUAGUGGAAUUCCAGGUGUAGGAGUGAAAUCCGUAGAUAUCUGGAGGAACAUCAGUGGCGAAGGCGACUAUCUGGCACAUAACUGACGCUGAGGAGCGAAAGCGUGGGUAGCAAACAGGAUUAGAUACCCUGGUAGUC